GGGCCGUUAGCUCAGCGGUAGAGCGCCUCUUUGACGUGGAGGAUGUCGGAGAUUCGAUCUCUCCACGGCCCACCA
This 75-nucleotide transfer RNA is filed under the name Caenimonas koreensis DSM 17982. RNAcentral describes it as "tRNA-Val". It matches the Rfam family "tRNA". From Rfam's summary of the family: Transfer RNA (tRNA) molecules are approximately 80 nucleotides in length. Their secondary structure includes four short double-helical elements and three loops (D, anti-codon, and T loops). Lineage: Bacteria; Pseudomonadati; Pseudomonadota; Betaproteobacteria; Burkholderiales; Comamonadaceae. The record is from RNAcentral. RNAcentral also lists the same sequence under 7 other names.